Long non-coding RNA from Passer domesticus (house sparrow), 4740 nucleotides. RefSeq lists it as uncharacterized. The record is from RefSeq and is a predicted model, not a curated record. NCBI's taxonomy places the organism in Eukaryota, Metazoa, Chordata, Aves, Passeriformes, Passeridae. The transcript is spliced from 4 exons.
GCCAGGUGGUGCUGAGACACUGGAGGUGCUCCAGAAAGGGCAGCACCUCCUCGGUCCUGCCCAGCUGCAGGAAGAGCUUGACGAUGAGGAAGCAGAUGCGGGCCUCCAGCGGAGCGUUGCCCACGGCGAUGGAUUCCCUCAGGAUGUAGGUGAGGAGCUCCAGCUCGUUCUCCGAGCUGAAGGAGCGGCCAGGCAGGCACACCAGCAGGGUCACCGUCUUCCCCAGCAGGGAGGAGAACUUGUGCUUCAUGUUCUGCUUCAGAGCUUCCCCAAGAGGAAACAGAGCCUGACGUGAGCCCAAACGGAACGAGUCCUCUUGGCCCAGUUCCGGGAAGUCUCGAGGUACAGGACCAGUUCAUCCUCAUCAGAGAAACCAUAAAAAGUGGAGUGGAGAAAGGAAAAGCUGAGAUCAUAAAAGCUUUGGAAGCUGGGCACGAAACUGUCUUGGUUGAGGAAGGUCAAUAUGGGGUCAAAGACAUCAGCAUCCUCCAUGUGGCCAGCGUUGAGGUCGAUGAAGAAUUUGGGAUAAUCCAAGUCAUCCAGCUUCUCCAGGAGAACAUCUUCCAGUGUGGCAGGGGCUGUUUCACUGCCUGGGCUGGACAGCUCGGAGGUGCUGCUGGUUGCCCAGUCAUUGAUCUCCUCCCAAGACUGGAGCACCUGCAUUUCUGUACUGCCAUGGAGAGCAACCUCUGGAAGGGAAAGGGAAAUCACAGUGGGAUCAGGAAGAAAUCCUUCCCUGUGGCUGCCCCACCCCUGGAAGUGUCCAAGGCCAGAAGUUGUGUUGCAGAUGAACACAGGAUUCUGGACACCUUCCCCAUCCACAUUCUCCAUGAAGGAACAGAAAGGUGCCAGAGGAAGGGACGCCAAAGCUUCUGCUCACACCUCAAACCCACCCUCUGUAAAGGUCCUGCAAAGGGAGUCACCUGCCCUGGGCUCUCACACAGCCUUGAGGUGGGAUUUGGAGCCUCCCCUCCCUUUUCUCCAUAAUUUAAUUUAAAUAAACUCACAGAGGUUCGCAAGCCUCGGGAUUUACGUGUUGGGUGGGAACGAAGCCAAUGCUCCUGGUGCUGAGGGAUUUGCCCACAAACCAGGGCAGCCCAGGGAUGAAGAACCCAAUGAUUUCUAUGGGAUCUCCUUUGGAGAAGCUCAGCUCAUCCCACGCUGCUCCUCUGUGGUCCUUGGUGGCGAUGCACCUGCCUCUGACUGGGAAACCAAGGCAAAAAAGGGAAUUUCAGUGGGAUCCCUGCUAAAACCUCCUCCCUGGAAAAGACCUGGGCAGGGAGAGGGCUGGAGAGGGCUGCCCCUCUCUCCCGUAAGAUUUAUUGUGAUCUUGGGCUCAGCUCUCUGCCUUUUCUCCUUGAGAAGUGGGUUAUAAUACAAAAUAAAAGAGGGAUGGAUAAACUCCACCCCUCUGUGAGCUGCAGCCUGGGAGGUGACUGGAAAUAUGAAUUUUUACAGACACUGCCCUAUGUCAACUCUGCCAGGAGUGAAACCUUGGACAGUGCAAACGUCCAUCCCUACAUGACAAAGUCACACCUGCAGGGACCUCCUGUGCCCAGCUUGCUCUAAACUGGACUGGACUGGGUUAAGGGCUGGGUGGUGGACACAGGUUUCAUGUGAGCACAAGGUGGGAACCUCAUGAUUUGAAACCUCACUCUCAAAGAAUGAAAAGAAACAUAAAAUUGAAGUAGGACAGGGAAAAGCCAGUGGCAGGAGGGUGUCACCAGCAGCUCUCUCUGCUCCUCAGAACGUGCUUUGCAAGUUCUGAUCUGCAUUCCAGAGAGUCCAGAGGUGCAGCAUUCCCUCAGAGCCCCUGUAGGGGGGUCAGGCCCAGAAGAACAGAUGGAUUUGUGGCCAUUUGUGGGCAAACCCAGGUUUUGUGCCCAGCCCUGGGACAGUGCCUUGCACAGGUGUCACUCACCAAUGGCCCGAGAGCUCGUCCCGCUGAUCUCCUGGGAGAGGCCAAAGCUCACAGAAUAAUUCCUCAGGAACCACCUGCAAGGCAAAAGGGACCCUCAGUGAGCACUCCUGACCUCAGGGAUGGUGUCACACCACAGGGGAAGAGCACGAUAAAUUUGCCAUCUUUCUCCAAGUAAAAGGCUCAGCCAGGUGACAAACAUUAAGUUCCACUUUGGCUGGCAUUGCCUGAUUUUUUUUUUCUGCCACUUCUUCAUCUGUUAAUCAGAGAUAACCUCAUGUAUGACCUCAAUCAAUAUCUUACAAAAACCACAUCUGAAGUAGGAGCAUGUCCUUGCUGUGUCCCAAUGCACCUGCACUGAUUCCAGCCUUUAUGCCUAACGUGGAUCCUCCUGGAAAUAUCCUCAUGGAAUUGUGAGGCUCUUGCCCUUUGCCAAAGACAAGAGGAGUUUCCCAGCCAGCCUUGGUACCAGUCAUGCAUCAGGAUCAGGAAAGAAUCCUGCUCUGAGCCCUUUCAUUCACCACUUACUGGUAAAAGGGGUGAGGUAUGGGCUCCAGAGCAGUCCCGGGCACCACGCCUCGCUGCCCUGUCAGCAGGGACAUCCCUUCCCAUUUGGAAUCCUGUCCAACACUCUUCACGUGGAUCAGCUCGUUCCUGCAGAGCUGCAGACCCUCCUCUCCCUCCUGCUCCAGCUUGCAGACGCCAGGCACUGCCCUGCAGAAAAAGUUCCCUGCAGAGAGAGUCAGAGGUGGGAUCAGUGCACCAGGGGCUGCAGCCCAGCCCUGCCGCAGGAUUUUCAGGAAUUCCCCCGUGUGCAUUCCCAUCACACCUUCCUGGAGGAGCAGAUCCAUGUAGAUGGUGGCCAGGUGCUCCUCAUCCACGGUGACCCUGAUCUCUGUGUCCUCCACCAGGGCACAGUCCAGCCAGAACUCCUGGGCAAAGAGCAGCUGCUCCAGGCAGGUCCCCACGUACCCUGAGGAGCCAAGAGGGGCAGCAGCAUCAGCACCUCCUUCCCUGGGCAGCAGGAGGGGUCUUGGGGAUUUCCAAAUGCCAGGCAAAAGCUUCUAAUUUUGUCUCCAAAAUUUCCCAAAAAGAAUCCUCCUGAUUCUCACUGAUGCAAACAGACAUUUCAUUAACAACAGAGUGCAAAGUUUUCUAAUUCAUUUCUCACUGUCCGGCCUGAACAUUGCAGUUCUGUAGUGUCAGGCCAUGCCUUCUCCAAAAACCCUUCUCACACUGCCUGCUCAGACCUUGGAAACAUUACCUAAGGUCAGAUAGGUGGAAAACUUCCAGACUUCCUCCAGGGUUUUGAAGGUGAGGAGGAAGCGAUCCUCGUGUGCCUGCGUGCAGACCAGCCUGGCUGACAGCUCCUGCACAGGGGACAAAGCAGCAUCAAGGGACACUCCUGGAGCCUUGAAAUCCAGCAGGGAAGGAGAGUGCAGUCCAGGCAUCCUCUCUGUAGCUGGGAUUUGUUUGUAUAAAACCCAGCCUGAGAGCUCUGUGUCUGUCCAGAGCUGUCCCCUCCAGCAGGGACGUGGAUUUGGUGAUCCCAGCCCUGGGAAUUCCUGGCUGUUUAGGCUCAGAUCCCCCAAAACAACACAAGGCCCAGCUUUGCCUCUCACCUACCAUCAGUUCAUCUUCCCCAUCAUUCCAGUCCCCUCCAGAGUCCCCUGCAGUGGCCUUGGAGGAACUCCUCAGCUGGGAUUGGCACCCCAGCACACCUCCCAGCAUUCCAGGAGCACGGCAGCAUGCCAGCUCGGGGUUUGUACCUUGAACAGGGCACAGACACCUCUGUCAUCGCUCUCCAGAGCCCACAGCUUCUUCCUGGCAGCCUCCUGGAGCCGGGCGUUGCGGCAGCGGCAGGAGCGGCUCUCCACGGAGAAGGAGAGCGAGAGCUCUUGGAAGGGAGAAGAGCAGGAUGAAAGGGGAGGAGGAGCUCCGUGGCACCCAGAGCCACCCCUGCCACCCUGCCAGGGCCACCAGAGCCCCCAGCCUGGCUGUGGUGCUCACACAACACGAGCACAGCCCGUGCUCAUCCUUCAGGCACCAGGGCUGGAGUGGCUCUGGAGUGAGGGGAUUUCCCUCCUUUCUCCUGGCAAGACCCUCAGAUGGGCAGAUCUGCUAAAUGAGUGAAUCACCAACAUAGAUUUUUUUGGAGGAGGCCUCAACUCCCCAGCACAGGAGAGCCAAGACCUUGCAAACGUCUUUGUUCAAAAAUUUGAAAAUCAAAAUGAGAUUGUCUCCCCUGCCUGCUCUGCUGGGUAUCCAAAAUCCAAGCAGCAUUCUCCCUGCUCCACACACCAUCAGCUAUUGCCAUAAAGGAUUCAGGGCCUGCAACCUGAGCUGCUAAUUAUGUUAAUGAAAGCUGAGGCACACACAACUCCAGCCCUGCUCUUCCACAGCUGCACUGGCAGUGGAGGGAUAACCAGAUUAAACCCCAAUUUUUGUCAUUAAUCAGACAGGAUUUGUAACAUCAACAUGUACCUGGGGAUGUGGAAUGUGCAGCAGCUUUUUAAAGUCACUUCUUUGACCAGAACUCUGUUCUACAGCUCUUUUCACUGAGCUACCUUUCCAGUCACUCAAAUAAAUUGGUAUUUGCAUGCAGAAAUAGAAUUCUUAUUUCGAGAAAUAGAAUUCUCAUGUAGAGCUAGCAAGUAGAAAAGAACAGCCCAAGGCUGGACAGGCCAUGAAUAAGUUUUGCUUUGAAAGAAAAGAGUCUACAUUGAACAAAGUCUUUACGUUUCAUGUGCCAGCUCCAUGCCCCCCACAUGAGGAAACAGAGAAGGGGAAGUGAAGGGAGGCAGAACCAAAUCUGAGCUGGC